GAGUUUGAUCCUGGCUCAGAACGAACGCUGGCGGCAGGCCUAACACAUGCAAGUCGAGCGCACCCUUCGGGGCGAGCGGCGGACGGGUUAGUAACGCGUGGGAAUGUACCCUUUUCUACGGAAUAGCCAUUGGAAACGAUGAGUAAUACCGUAUACGCCCUUUGGGGGAAAGAUUUAUCGGAGAAGGAUCAGCCCGCGUUAGAUUAGAUAGUUGGUGGGGUGAUGGCCUACCAAGUCUACGAUCUAUAGCUGGUUUUAGAGGAUGAUCAGCAACACUGGGACUGAGACACGGCCCAGACUCCUACGGGAGGCAGCAGUGGGGAAUCUUAGACAAUGGGCGCAAGCCUGAUCUAGCCAUGCCGCGUGAGCGAAGAAGGCCUUAGGGUCGUAAAGCUCUUUCGCCAGGGAUGAUAAUGACAGUACCUGGUAAAGAAACCCCGGCUAACUCCGUGCCAGCAGCCGCGGUAAUACGGAGGGGGUUAGCGUUGUUCGGAAUUACUGGGCUUAAAGAGUUCGUAGGUGGUUGAAAAAGUUGGUGGUGAAAUCCCAGAGCUUAACUCUGGAACUGCCAUCAAACUUUUCAGCUAGAGUAUGAUAGAGGAAAGCAGAAUUUCUAGUGUAGAGGUGAAAUUCGUAGAUAUUAGAAAGAAUACCAAUUGCGAAGGCAGCUUUCUGGAUCAUUACUGACACUGAGGAACGAAAGCAUGGGUAGCGAAGAGGAUUAGAUACCCUCGUAGUCCAUGCCGUAAACGAUGUGUGUUAGACGUUGGAAAUUUAUUUUCAGUGUCGCAGCGAAAGCGAUAAACACACCGCCUGGGGAGUACGACCGCAAGGUUAAAACUCAAAUGAAUUGACGGGGACCCGCACAAGUAGUGGAGCAUGUGGUUUAAUUCGAAGAUACGCGCAGAACCUUACCAACACUUGACAUGUUCGUCGCGACUCUAAGAGAUUAGAGUUUUCGGUUCGGCCGGACGAAACACAGGUGCUGCAUGGCUGUCGUCAGCUCGUGUCGUGAGAUGUUGGGUUAAGUCCCGCAACGAGCGCAACCCUCACUUUUAGUUGCCAUCAUUAAGUUGGGCACUCUGAAAGAACUGCCAGUGAUAAGCUGGAGGAAGGUGGGGAUGACGUCAAGUCCUCAUGGCCCUUACGUGUUGGGCUACACACGUGCUACAAUGGUAUCUACAACAGGAAGCAAAACGGCAACGUUAAGCAAAUCCCGAAAAGAUACCUCAGUUCGGAUUGCACUCUGCAACUCGAGUGCAUGAAGCUGGAAUUACUAGUAAUCGUGGAUCAGCGUGCCACGGUGAAUGCGUUCCCGGGUCUUGUACACACCGCCCGUCACACCAUGGGAGUUGGUUCUACCUUAAGGCAAGGUUUUAAACCCUUGACCACGGUAUAGUCAGCGACUGGGGUGAAGUCGUAACAAGGUAACC
RNAcentral lists this ribosomal RNA (1433 nucleotides) under uncultured marine bacterium. RNAcentral describes it as "16S ribosomal RNA". It matches the Rfam family "Bacterial small subunit ribosomal RNA". The record is from RNAcentral.